RNAcentral lists this ribosomal RNA (251 nucleotides) under uncultured prokaryote. RNAcentral's name for it is "partial 16S rRNA". It matches the Rfam family "Bacterial small subunit ribosomal RNA", at positions 525 to 775 of the family's 1533-position model. The record is from RNAcentral.
ACGGAACAGGCAAGCGUUGUUCGGAAUCACUGGGCUUAAAGCGCGUGUAGGCGGCCUGGUAAGUACCUUGUGAAAUCCCCCGUCUCAACCGGGGCACUGCUUGGUAUACUGCCGGGCUCGAGGUGGGUAGGGGUGCCUGGAACUCUAGGUGGGGCGGUGACUUGCGUAUACAUGUAGAGGAACGGCGGUGGCGAGAGCAGGACACGGUGCGUUACCUGACGCUGAGGCGCGUAAGCGUGGGUAGGAAAGGG